ACAGAAGCGAGUCGGACUGUGCUCGCUGCUCAGCGCCGCACCCGGAGGAUGAGGCUUGCCGUGGGAGCCCUGCUGGUCUGCGCCGUCCUGGGCAAACGAAGCGGAUGCUGUGACACUGGAUGCAGGUUUGGUGUAUGACGCUUACCUGGCUCCCAAUAACCUGAAGCCUGUGGUGGCAGAGUUCUACGGGUCAAAAGAGGGUAAGUUCUCCCUGGGACCCCAGGAAGGAGUUGUCAUCCUUAUUCUAUAUGCUGAGUGCUGUGUUUUACAGGCAGGUUUUGGAUAUCAGAUAUAAUGAACAUUCAUCUUUGGAGAGUGAGUAGAGAAUGAGGGGCCCUGUCAGCUGCCACAGCCACACAUCAAGGCCUCUGGGGGCUUUGGGCUGGCGGGCUGGUGCUCCUAAAACUGAGCCCUGGGCCAGGGGGAUAUGCUUAUCAGAGAAACACAGCAGGCUGUGUGCAGCUUGCCCUGAAGGCUACUGCGGUCUACUGAUAUGUCUAGGGUCCCUGGAGGCCUCUGGAGCCAUAGGUACCACUCACACAGGAGAGGUCACUCUGGAGCACACACUCAGAUG
Molecule: small RNA, 574 nt
Filed under: Pan troglodytes (chimpanzee)
Lineage: Eukaryota; Metazoa; Chordata; Mammalia; Primates; Hominidae
Description: retained intron
Source: RNAcentral